Molecule: ribosomal RNA, 245 nt
Filed under: uncultured bacterium
Lineage: Bacteria
Description: partial 16S ribosomal RNA
Rfam family: Bacterial small subunit ribosomal RNA
Source: RNAcentral
UACGGGGGGUGCGAGCGUUAUUCGGAAUUACUGGGCGUAAAGCGCGUGCGGGCGGGCCUGCAAGUCUGAUGUGAAAGCCCCGGGCUUAACCUGGGAAGUGCAUUGGAAACUGCAGGUCUUGAGUGCUGGAGAGGAAGGGGGAAUUCCCGGUGUAGAGGUGAAGUUCGUAGAGAUCGGGAGGAAUACCAGUGGCGAAGGCGCCCUUCUGGACGGCAACUGACGCUGAGACGCGAAAGCGUGGGGAG